GCAUAUCAAUAAGCGGAGGAAAAGAAAAUAACAAUGAUUCCUCUAGUAACUGCGAGUGAAGAGGGAAAAGCUCAAAUUUUAAAUCUGUUAGGUUUACCUAACCGAGUUGUAAUUUGAAGAAGCGUUUUCUGCGAAUUUGGUUAGUCCAAAUCCUUUGGAAUAGGGUAUCAUGGAGGGUGAGAAUCCCGUUCGGUUAACCAAAGCGCUUUACGAUACGCUUUCAAAGAGUCAAGUUGUUUGGGAUUGCAGCUUAAAAUGGGAGGUAAAUUUCUCCUAAGGCUAAAUAUUGGCGAGAGACCAAUAGCGAACAAGUACCGUGAGGGAAAGAUGAAAAGAACUUUGAAAAGAGAGUUAAACAGUACGUGAAAUUGUUGAAAGGGAAACGAUUAAAGUCAGUCGUACCUACGAGUAAUCAACCUACUCGAGUGCGAUUUUGUGGGUAUGUUAGAGCUUAAAAACCUUCAUGCUUACAAAUUGGUGCUCUUUGGGCGUACUUUCUCGUAUGGUAGGUUAACAUCAAUUUCGAUCGUUAUAAAAUGACUGGAGGAAUGUAGCUUCGAUCUCGGUUGAAGUGUUAUAGCCUUUGGUAGAUGUAAUGAUUGGGAUUGAGGAUUGCAACGGAUACCCUCUGGGCUAUUCGUCUGAUCUCUGGAAGUUACCUUGGUGUCGAAAGCGUGCUUACGAUAUUAAGGUUGACGGCCAAUAGGUUAGAACGUGAUUAAAUUCGUUAAGGAUGUUGACGUAAUGGCUUUAAACGAC
Molecule: ribosomal RNA, 759 nt
Filed under: Rhizophagus cf. intraradices HG-2010
Lineage: Eukaryota; Fungi; Glomeromycota; Glomeromycetes; Glomerales; Glomeraceae
Description: eukaryotic LSU rRNA
Rfam family: Eukaryotic large subunit ribosomal RNA
Source: RNAcentral